This is a long non-coding RNA of Perognathus longimembris pacificus (Pacific pocket mouse), 1437 nucleotides long. RefSeq lists it as uncharacterized. The transcript is spliced from 2 exons. NCBI's taxonomy places the organism in Eukaryota, Metazoa, Chordata, Mammalia, Rodentia, Heteromyidae. The record is from RefSeq and is a predicted model, not a curated record.
CACCAAACUCAAGCACUCUGGACUUUUAUACACGUCAAACUACGUUCACAAUUUGGUUCUGCAUUAGAAAGCCGGGAGUGUCAGGGCUCUUGAGUCCUGUUUUCCCCUCUCACUCAGGCUGCAGCAUGCAUGAGUGAAUUUCCCUGGCACAGAAACAGGAAAACAGGAGAUCAGCAGAUUUGCUUACUGCUGUUCCACUUUUUUUCUACAACAUCUGACCUAUUUACAAAAACCAUACAUCUUUCUUUUUCCAUUGUGAUAACCUGGUCAGGAGAGGCCGGCCCAGUGUCCCUUACCAGCAUGUGCUUACUUUCUCUUCUCAGUUUAGAAGUGGCUUUUUGUGCCCAUGACCUCAACUGAGUGAUUCUAGCAAGGCCUAUUUUGUGUUUACUGGAAGUAAAGGAAGAGAGGAAUUGAUUCUUAAUUCCUUUGAAAUACAGUAUCUUCCUUGGAGCUGUGGCUCUCAUCCAGCUGCUCAGACAUAAGACUUAUGGCAACCAAUCUUUACAGUUUAUUUGGCAGUAAACAUUUUGGCUAAUGGCUUCAAUGAUACUCUAUGAUUCUCUGGAUGCCUAACCUGUGUUACUGGCCUUCAUCCCUUUAUCCCUAGCAAAUUCUGGGUCUCAAGAGGUCUUUGUAUACGUGCUAUUGUACAUAUAGGACAGAGUGAAGGUCCUAGGCCCUAGGAGUAAAUAAUCUGCAUUUAUACAGAAACAUAAAAGAAACCACUUACUAGUUGCCACAUUUGUUAAAAAAAAAUCAAACUGAAUUUUAUUAAUAGAUUGUUGCCCAAUUUAUCUAACCUAUUAUUGUAACACUUAAGAUGUUUUUCCAUGCCAACUUUUAAAAACUCAGUGUAUGUUUUUCACUUCUCAAGUAAGACAUGAAAUUUCAAGUGCUGAAAGGGGAAUAGGGAGGGGUAAGUGGGAGGAAAUGAGGGAUUGAGGUAACAAUAAUUAUAACCAAAUAUACUCAUUACCUUACUUAUGUAACUGUAACCCCUUUGCUCAUUACAUUUUUCAAUAAAAGUAAAAUUAUACAAAAAAGAAAUUUCAAGUACUGUCAAUAACCAUGUGCUGUUAAUGGCUGUUUUAUUUUUAUUUUUUAUUGGGUGGUGGAAAUCUGAGCUAGGAAGUCUCAUUUUGUUAAAGAAGAAUAUGUAACAUGGUACUUAAGAGUUUCGUUCAGGGCUGGGAAUAUGGCCUAGUGGCAAGAUCUAGUUGUCUUUUGGAAAAUACGUCUGCAGCUUGUAUUCACUUUGUUGUGCAGGCUAGGGGAAAUGUGGCCUGUCAAAUUUCCCCUCUUUGGCCCUUUUUCAUACCCAACUUAACAUGAAUAUAUGAACAUCUUUUAUAAACAGAGUGCUACGAGAAAUAGAUAAAACAACAAUGGUGCAUCCUCUACUGAAUAUUGAAUACUACUUUGGCCUCUUAGAAC